Molecule: long non-coding RNA, 633 nt
Filed under: Nicotiana tabacum (common tobacco)
Lineage: Eukaryota; Viridiplantae; Streptophyta; Magnoliopsida; Solanales; Solanaceae
Description: long non-coding RNA (NTAB_LNC001036)
Source: RNAcentral
UGCCACAGCCUUUAAUUUGUAAAUGUGAGUCUAUAAAUAAGAGAGCAGCCAUAACAAUUUGACUCACAACAAGCAAGAAAAAUACAACGAUUUUAGCACUUGCUCAUGGCUGGCCUUCAAUACAACUUUUUUCCAACAGAUUUCUUCUUUCCUCCUCAGAAUACAAUCCACAGAGACAGCACAUCACAGCAAAUAAAUCUCUCGGCCAACACAAGAAUGACUGAUGAAAAUUUAGAUGAUUCAAAACCACUGGCCAAACCUAUCACCAACACCAAAAGUACUACUCUCAAAGCGGCCAUUUCUUCUUCCUCUAUUAUCUUAGCUCCUAUAUCAAAGCAGAGGCAAAAUCAAGGUCAAGAUCAAGCAAUCUGAUUAAUGAUAACAGAAGACUUUGUUUAUAAGGCUAAUUAUUAAAGAUCUCCUUGAUCAUACAUGGUAUUAAGUCAAUUAUAAGACAAGUAUUUCAGUUUGCUUUCUGUUUCUUCCUUUUGUUGUCUACUUUUCUUUCCUAAUGGAUUUGUAAAGGCUUCUCCAAUAUCAUCAGAGUCUAAAGUAAUAUUUUAUUAAGUUGUUAUGAUAACCAGUGAACUAUAAAGUUGGAUGGAUGCAUAUAUCAAAGUAAAUAAAUUACAC